This 262-nucleotide unclassified non-coding RNA is filed under the name Hevea brasiliensis (rubber tree). Lineage: Eukaryota; Viridiplantae; Streptophyta; Magnoliopsida; Malpighiales; Euphorbiaceae. The record is from RNAcentral.
AUAAUCCUUAGCCUCAUCCGCAAUCCAACCAAUUCUUUCCUCAUCAUUUUUGCUGCCAGUUCCUUCUUUAUCUUGUGAUUUCUCCUUGUUUUGAUCUGUUUUCCUAUCAUCUUCCAAAAUUCUCUCUUUUCCUCUGUCCUUGCCAAUGUUCCUAUAGCUUUCCUUGUCCUCUUGAUCUCUGUGUUUCUCUCUCCCCUUCUCCCUUUCAUUUUCAUUUGAUCGGUCCUUGUCCUUGUCCUUCUUCUUCCUAUCCCUAUCCCUA